This 296-nucleotide long non-coding RNA is filed under the name Salvia miltiorrhiza (redroot sage). RNAcentral describes it as "long non-coding RNA (SMIL_LNC010205)". The record is from RNAcentral. Lineage: Eukaryota; Viridiplantae; Streptophyta; Magnoliopsida; Lamiales; Lamiaceae.
UAAAAUAAUUUACUAAUAAUUAAAAUUGCAUUAAAUAAAGAUCCUAAAUAUUACAUCAAAAAACACCUAAAGACAUACAUUAAAAAUUACUUAAAUCCUAAAAAAUAUAUUUAAAACUAACAUUAAAAUAUCUAAUUUCAAAGAAAAAAAAAAGAAAAAAAAAGGUGAUUCUCGGGUAUACUCGAACAAUCGAGUAUACCUCGAGUAGGCAAGCUCUGCAAUGGGGCUACUCGAGUAAGGGGCUACUCGAUAGCCACUCGAGUAAGGGCAUCGAGUAGCCCGUUGUGGUUGCUCUU